CCCGAGGACACUGUGGCUCCCAAAGGUUUGAUGCCUCUGAUGCGGGUUUUAGAGCGUUCUGGCCCCAAAGAGAGUGGGUGGGAGAAUAAGAUUUGGGGGUGGGAGGGAGAGUGGGCCAGGCCUGGAUGCCUCCUGGCUGCAGAGAGGGGUGGCCGGCACUGGCAGGCCCCUGCCCCCACUGGCCCCCAGGGGUCAGGCCUGUCCUGUGGCCCUUUCCUGCCUCUGCAGCCCUCAGGGCUGUGGGACCCCCACCUCCCCCCCAGGGCCUUCAGCACCACUGCUGGUUUCUCCUCCCUUGUCCACAUCUUCUAAAUGGCCUUUCCGGAAAGCCCCAGACGUACCCCAUUUGCGUCUUUCUUUCAGCAGGACCCUGACUGCAGCUGGGCACACGAUUCAGCGGCGUCGGCUCCACUCAGCGUUGUGCCACCAUCGCCACCGUGCGUCACCAAGACCGUCCGUCACCCACAUGAUGGCUUUGGGGCCAGUGGGGUUGGAUUGUCUGCUGGGGGGAGAGGAGCGGAGGAAAAGAGGGUGCUCCUCCCAGUAAAGAGAUGGGGUGAGGCCAGGCGCCCCGCACCCUCCACCUGCUCCUUCCUGGAAGAGGAGAUGAUGCUUGGAGCUGCAGCAGCCACCUGAUGACCAAGAGGAAAGCAGAGGGCCAGGGCAGACCCUGCCAUCACUGGACUGCACCCAGCACCCAUAGAACCUAUGCUUGUUACACGAACAAACGAAGACUCCUUGCUGUGUUUAGGCUCCUUUGGCUUGGGUUUUCUGCUCACUGCAGCUGAACGCUGACAAAUCCAUGUUGCAUAGUGCGUUUAGAUCAGACUUCCCCCAACUCCAGUCUUCAAAAUACUGGUAAUAGAUGUUUCUGUGAAAGCAACAUCAACACCAGUAUUGUGUGUUUAUGUAUAUCAAGCUUACAGGAUAGUUAAAAAAAAAUACAAUCCCUGUGAAGAGAACUUCAACAUACACCCCUGUAACAAUUUGAUGUGGUUAUGAAUUCCAAAAAUAGAUAUUGGUUUAUGCUUGUAAUCUGCUCUGUACCUGGGCAUGACUGAGUUAGGAUUAGGGCGUGGAGCACCCGCCCCUUGCUGGGUGGGGACUACAGAUAAAAGGCCUGGCAGAGGACGGAGUGGAGGGUUUCUGAUGUUGGAGUUUUGAUGCUGAAGACUUAAGCUGGAGCCCCGGGAAGUCAGCUCACAGAGGAAAGAGAAACCAGCCCCAGGAAGAAGGAAACCCUGGGAAGAGGGGACCCUGAACACAGAGAGAAGCAAGACCCUGGAAGGGAGGAACCCAGGAAGCCUGAACCCUGGCAGACGUCGGCAGCCAUCCUGCUCCAGCGUGUGAAAAUAGACUUUGGUGGGGAAGUAACUUAUGCUUUAUGGCCUGGUAUCUGUAAGCUCCUACCCCAAAUAAUACCCUUUAUAAUGCCCAGCAGAUUUCUGGUUUUUUGCAUCAGCACCCCUUUGGCUGACUAAUACAGCCCUCCACCUGAACGCAGACCCACCAGUUUAAAAGUGUUGCCACGUUUGCUGUAUUCUCUCUCUCUCUCUCUCUAUCCAUCCAUCCAUUCUCUGAACACUUGAGUGUAGGUUGUGCACAUCAGGCCCUUGAACACUUAACACUGCCUGUACAUUUCCAAACAGUGAUACUCACACACAUAGCCACCGUCAGUGCAGCUGUCAAGCCAAGUAACCUAACAGUGACUAAAAGCUCGGCGUCUCUCUUCCAGCUUUUCACCUGUCCUUUGAGCCUUUUCUCCUCCCUUUUUAGAUGCCACCCAGGGUCAUGUAUUACUUUUAGUUGUCAUUAUCACUUUAGUUCCUCAAAGACUUCUUAAUAUAUUGAAAUCUCCCUUUUUUAGUAAGCAAAUUACCUUUUAUUUUGAUUCAAAGAAUGGAGUUUUUUGGCUUCAAGUCUCAGAUUUAUUUUAUUUUUCUUUUUUAGCACCCUAUACUUCCCCUGUGGGUAUUUUUUUUUUUUAACUCAUGCACAUACGCUGUUUGUACAGUAGAUAAUAAAAGUCAACAUAUAGAAAAGUGCCACGGCAGCAUUUCUAGAUACACCGUACAGUGACCCGCCUUCAGGAAGUGCGUGCUGUGCCCAAACGCGGGCGUGCCCCGGUGCAGGCGUCGGGCGCCCAGGCUGGUCAGCCUCCCCGCUGCCCCUCCAGCCCUGCCUGGCCACGGCCUCAAGCCGCGUCUUCAUCUGUAAUUUCAACAUAUUUUAUGAAACUCUCCAAUGGCCAACGAGGAGUGUGCUGUGCAAGCUCCUUUCUCCCAGGUCUUUUGCUUAAACGGGGACAAUUUAAACAAAAAGUGGCAAGGUCUAUGGUCCUCAAA
Molecule: long non-coding RNA, 2345 nt
Filed under: Dasypus novemcinctus (nine-banded armadillo)
Lineage: Eukaryota; Metazoa; Chordata; Mammalia; Cingulata; Dasypodidae
Description: lncRNA (ENSDNOG00000052492.1)
Source: RNAcentral